This is a non-coding RNA of Vicugna pacos (alpaca), 218 nucleotides long. NCBI's taxonomy places the organism in Eukaryota, Metazoa, Chordata, Mammalia, Artiodactyla, Camelidae. The record is from RefSeq and is a predicted model, not a curated record.
AAAACACUGGGGUACCGCUCAUGGCAGCAUUGUUCCUUACCAGGCUUUUAAAACCAAGGAUGGAUAUCUUAUAGUUGGAGCAGGAAAUAACCAACAGUUUGCUACUGUGUGCAAGAUCUUGAAUUUGCCUGAGCUGAUUGAUGAUUCCAUGUAUAGAACUAACCACCUUCGGGUACAGAACAGAAAUGAGCUUAUUAAAAUACUGUCUACACGGUAAG